Molecule: ribosomal RNA, 514 nt
Filed under: Nocardioides flavus (ex Ruan and Zhang 1979)
Lineage: Bacteria; Bacillati; Actinomycetota; Actinomycetes; Propionibacteriales; Nocardioidaceae
Description: bacterial SSU rRNA
Rfam family: Bacterial small subunit ribosomal RNA
Source: RNAcentral
AGCCUGAUCCAGCAACGCCGCGUGAGGGAUGACGGCCUUCGGGUUGUAAACCUCUUUCAGCACAGACGAAGCGCAAGUGACGGUAUGUGCAGAAGAAGGACCGGCCAACUACGUGCCAGCAGCCGCGGUAAUACGUAGGGUCCGAGCGUUGUCCGGAAUUAUUGGGCGUAAAGGGCUCGUAGGCGGUCUGUCGCGUCGGGAGUGAAAACCAGGUGCUUAACACCUGGCCUGCUUUCGAUACGGGCAGACUAGAGGUACUCAGGGGAGAAUGGAAUUCCUGGUGUAGCGGUGAAAUGCGCAGAUAUCAGGAGGAACACCGGUGGCGAAGGCGGUUCUCUGGGAGUAUCCUGACGCUGAGGAGCGAAAGUGUGGGGAGCGAACAGGAUUAGAUACCCUGGUAGUCCACACCGUAAACGUUGGGCGCUAGGUGUGGGAUCCAUUCCACGGGUUCCGUGCCGCAGCUAACGCAUUAAGCGCCCCGCCUGGGGAGUACGGCCGCAAGGCUAAAACUCAA